UCUGUUCAAUUCGACAAGUGCACUCACGGCGGAACUGCCACCGGUAUAACGUCUUGACGAUGGGCUUCAGGGUUUGACACUCCGCAGCGCCACCAGCUCUGUUUUCUCCCCAAGCCUUCUCGCUGUGCGGUGAGUGGAUAGCUGGGCGCGCAGUGUGGCAGUGGCGGCGAAGAUUGGCGCUAUCAGGAGGAGCAAAAGGGAAGGAUCUGCUGCUGGGGGCUCCCUGGGUGACCCUUUGCUAGGCGAAAAGAACCCGUCGAGAGAGAAGCGCUUGGCAGGAGCUCUCUGCGGGACAUAAGCUCCCUGGCUGCUCGGGAUCCCUACGUCCGCUGCUGCGGAAGGAACACAGGGGAGGACGCAAGCGGUUGCUUACUGGAGCCUGGAGGUAAGCAAGGGGGUGGGAUCCUGAUUCUCAGCCCAGAUUCCAAAAGGGUGUCUGAUUUCAUGGAAACAUUCUUCUCACCCUCAUUUAUCAUCGCACACCCCACCCCCGCUUUUCAGAUCCAGGUUCAGGAAUAACCAAAUCCUUGGCACCCUCACAAGGUGGAAGUACCUUUCACAGCUCAUCGCCUGAAUGCCUUGCUCCUUACAUAUAUAUGUUUGUGUUGGGGGAAUGUGAGCUUCUCAGGGAAGUUG
Molecule: long non-coding RNA, 636 nt
Filed under: Macaca mulatta (Rhesus monkey)
Lineage: Eukaryota; Metazoa; Chordata; Mammalia; Primates; Cercopithecidae
Description: lncRNA (ENSMMUG00000059754.1)
Source: RNAcentral